ACGGGAAGAAGACCAACAGGGAUUGCCUUAGUAACGGCGAGUGAAGCGGCAAUAGCUCAAAUUUGAAAGCUGGCGUCUUCGACGUCCGCGUUGUAAUUUGUAGAGGAUGCUUCGGCGAGGACUCCUGCCUAAGUCCCCUGGAACGGGGCGUCACAGAGGGUGAGAAUCCCGUAUGUGGCGGGCGGUCCAAGCCAUGUGAAGCUCCUUCAACGAGUCGAGUUGUUUGGGAAUGCAGCUCUAAAUGGGAGGUAAAUUUCUUCUAAAGCUAAAUAUUGGCCAGAGACCGAUAGCGCACAAGUAGAGUGAUCGAAAGAUGAAAAGCACUUUGGAAAGAGAGUUAAAAAGUACGUGAAAUUGUUGAAAGGGAAGCGCUUGCAACCAGACUCGCUCGCAGUUGCUCAGCCGGCCUCUUGGCCGGCGUACUCUUCUGCGAUCGGGCCAGCAUCAGUUCGGGCGGCCGGAUAAAGGUGUCGGGAAUGUAGCACCCUUCGGGGUGUGUUAUAGCCCGGCGCGGAAUGCGGCCAGCCUGGACUGAGGAUCUCGCUUCGGCAAGGAUGCUGGCGUAAUGGUUGUAAGCGGCCCGUCUUGAAACACGGACCAAGGAGUCUAACAUCUAUGCGAGUGUUUGGGUGUCAAACCCAUGCGCGUAAUGAAAGUGAACGGAGGUGGGAACCCCUCACGGGGUGCACCAUCGACCGAUCCUGAUGUCUUCGGAUGGAUUUGAGUAAGAGCAUAGCUGUUGGGACCCGAAAGAUGGUGAACUAUGCCUGAAUAGGGUGAAGCCAGAGGAAACUCUGGUGGAGGCUCGCAGCGGUUCUGACGUGCAAAUCGAUCGUCAAAUUUGGGUAUAGGGGCGAAAGACUAAUCGAACCAUUCGCGGCUU
RNAcentral lists this ribosomal RNA (883 nucleotides) under unidentified. RNAcentral describes it as "Phyllosticta endophytica partial large subunit ribosomal RNA". It matches the Rfam family "Eukaryotic large subunit ribosomal RNA", at positions 54 to 957 of the family's 3401-position model. The record is from RNAcentral.